GAUGAACGCUGGCGGCGUGCUUAACACAUGCAAGUCGAACGGAAAGGCUCCUGCUUGCAGGGGCACUCGAGUGGCGAACGGGUGAGUAACACGUGGGUGAUCUGCCCUGCACUUCGGGAUAAGCCUGAGAAACUGGGUCUAAUACCGGAUAGGACCAUCGUUUAGUGUCGGUGGUGGAAAGUUUUUUCGGUGUGGGAUGAGCUCGCGGCCUAUCAGCUUGUUGGUGGGGUAAUGGCCUACCAAGGCGUCGACGGGUAGCCGGCCUGAGAGGGUGUACGGCCACAUUGGGACUGAGAUACGGCCCAGACUCCUACGGGAGGCAGCAGUGGGGAAUAUUGCACAAUGGGCGCAAGCCUGAUGCAGCGACGCCGCGUGGGGGAUGACGGCCUUCGGGUUGUAAACUCCUUUCGCCAGGGACGAAGCGAAAGUGACGGUACCUGGAUAAGAAGCACCGGCUAACUACGUG
This 466-nucleotide ribosomal RNA is filed under the name uncultured bacterium. RNAcentral's name for it is "partial 16S ribosomal RNA". It matches the Rfam family "Bacterial small subunit ribosomal RNA", at positions 28 to 507 of the family's 1533-position model. The record is from RNAcentral.